AUUGAACGCUGGCGGAAUGCUUUACACAUGCAAGUCGAACGGCAGCACGGGAGCUUGCUCCUGGUGGCGAGUGGCGAACGGGUGAGUAAUAUAUCGGAACGUAUCCAAUAAUGGGGGAUAACUAGUCGAAAGAUUAGCUAAUACCGCAUACGCCCUGAGGGGGAAAGCUGGGGAUCUUCGGACCUAGCGUUAAUGGAGCGGCCGAUAUCUGAUUAGCUAGUAGGUGAGGUAAGAGCUCACCUAGGCGACGAUCAGUAGCUGGUCUGAGAGGACGACCAGCCACACUGGAACUGAGACACGGUCCAGACUACCUACGGGAGGCAGCAGUGGGGAAUUUGGACAAUGGGCGCAAGCCUGAUCCAGCCAUUCCGCGUGAGUGAAGA
This 383-nucleotide ribosomal RNA is filed under the name uncultured bacterium. RNAcentral describes it as "bacterial SSU rRNA". It matches the Rfam family "Bacterial small subunit ribosomal RNA", at positions 30 to 411 of the family's 1533-position model. The record is from RNAcentral.